CUUUGCAUGGCUCUGCCCACGUCCCCUGUUCCCGUCCCUUCUGGUUUUUUUCUACUUUUUUGAACUUUGGGGGCUGCUUCCGGCUGGCCACCCAGGCUUGCCUUUGGGAUUCAUGAGAAUCUGCGUCUGUGAAUUUGGGAUGUGUUUAACUUUAUAAGCCAUCCACUCGGUUGGUUCAUGCAUGCUGUUACCUUCCCUGCCCUCCUGGGCUGGGCGUUCUCUCCUGGCCAGGGAUGGGGGCAGCCAGACCUUCACCCCAUCAGUGACCGACAUACGAGUGGAAAGGAUGGGGCAGCUGUGGGCGGGAGACCCGAGGCCGUUCAGUCGCGUGAGACGAGGUGCACCAUCUCGAGCUAAGGGACCAGCGUAUAUAGCACAAGCCCAACCACACUUUACAGUAUGGAUGUAGAGGUGCACACACACACUCUGGAGAAGUCUUGACAUAAAUGCACCAAAAUGUCAACAGUAUCUA
Long non-coding RNA from Neofelis nebulosa (Clouded leopard), 472 nucleotides. RefSeq lists it as uncharacterized. The record is from RefSeq and is a predicted model, not a curated record. NCBI's taxonomy places the organism in Eukaryota, Metazoa, Chordata, Mammalia, Carnivora, Felidae. The transcript has 2 exons.